GGACGGAGGGAGUAGAUCAUAGGUUACGUGGUGGUUGUUGGUCAAGCGACGAGACAAUGACACUUCUAAGACAAGUACGAUGCUAGGAGGAAAGGAGAGGCCCAUGAAAUCGCUACCUGAUAAUAAUAUUAAAAGUAGGAGUUUUUCUUUUUUUGUUGAGUCUCACUUUUCCAUAAAAGGACUGUGUUUUGGAGGCCCAAAGCACUCAAUUUGUGGACUGUCGAUCAAUCUGAACUAAUAAUGAUCCAGAUCUUCUCUCUCAAUAACCCUAACUCUUUCUUCUUCCAAUCCAUCCAUAAUGCACGCGCUUCUAUUCCACGCCGCCGCCACCGCCUCCCAACAUCCUCCUCUGUCGGUGUUUAGACCCAGCAACCUACCGAGGGGGUGCCCGAGGUAGUGUUUAGUACGUAGGGCUUGCCGAGAUCAGGAACUCGAAGGUGAACACGAGCACACGAUUUAAAUAGGUUCGGACCGCUAGAUUGCAUAAUACUCUACGCCCUGUGUGUUGGUUGGAUUGAAUUACUUUGGAGGGGGUCCCAGUCUUACCUUAUAUUACCGGAGGCAGGGCUACAGGUCGGUUGAUUUACAAGAAUACUAGUUGAAUUCGACUAGAUGGGUCCUACUCUAAUUGCUACGAGUAGUUUUCCUAAUCCUCGACUACUUUCUAUCCUGCCACGUAGACUACGUUGUCCUACAUCGUAGCCUCCAUGUCUGACACGUCUCAGUGUCCAGCCCUGUAUCUAGAACUGUCCAAACUUUCUAGUGGGCCCAUGUAUGUAC
RNAcentral lists this long non-coding RNA (780 nucleotides) under Setaria viridis. RNAcentral describes it as "long non-coding RNA (SVIR_LNC002267)". The record is from RNAcentral. Lineage: Eukaryota; Viridiplantae; Streptophyta; Magnoliopsida; Poales; Poaceae.